Molecule: transfer RNA, 73 nt
Filed under: Mesocricetus auratus (golden hamster)
Lineage: Eukaryota; Metazoa; Chordata; Mammalia; Rodentia; Cricetidae
Rfam family: tRNA
About the family: Transfer RNA (tRNA) molecules are approximately 80 nucleotides in length. Their secondary structure includes four short double-helical elements and three loops (D, anti-codon, and T loops).
Source: Rfam by way of RNAcentral
GCCAGACUAGCUCAGUUGGUAGAGCAUGAGACUCUUAAUCUCAAGGUCAUGGGUUCAAGCCCCAUAUCAGGUG